CUGGGGAGCACCGGUGCAGUGUGUAGAGGGUUUGAUUCUGCUCAGAUUGAACGCUGGCGGGAUGUUUACACAUGCAAGUCGAACGGCAGCACGGACUUCCCGUCUGGUGGCGAGUGGCGAACGGGUGAGUAAUGUAUCGGAACGUGCCUAGUAGCGGGGGAUAAUCACGAAAGCGUAGCUAAUACUGCAUACGGCCCUCGUAAGUUGGGACCUUCUGGCCUCGCAAUCAUUAGAGCGGCCGAUAUCGGAUUAGCUAGUUGGUGGGGUAACGGCUCACCAAGGCGACGAUCCGUAGCUGGUUUGAGAGGACGACCAGCCAUUACUGGGAUCAACAGGCCCAGACUCCUACGAGUGCGGUGGGGAAUUUUGGACAAUGGGGAAACCCUGAUCCAGCCAUCCGCGUGUGCGAUGAAGGCCUUCGCUGUAAAGCACUUUUGGCAGGAAGAAACCAGCACGGGAUAAUACCCGUGCAACUGACGGUACCUGCAGAAUAAGCACCGGCUAACUACGUGCCAGCAGCCGCGGUAAUACGUAGGGCGUGCAAGCGUUAAUCGGAAUUACUGGGCGUAAAGCGUGCAGGCGGCCCGGAAAGAAAGAUGUGAAAUCCCAGAGCUUAACUUUGAACUGCAUUUUUAACUACCGAGCUAGAGUGUCAGAGGGAGGUGGAAUUGGCGUGUAGCAGUGAAAUGCGUAGAUAUGCGAUAACACCUCCGGAUGGCGAAGGCAGCCUCCUGGGAUAACACUGACGCUCAUGCACGAAAGCGUGGGGAGCAAACAGGAUUAGAUACCCUGUAGUCUCACGCCUUCAAACGAUGUCAAAAUUGGUUGUUGGGGCCUUCGGGCCUUUGGUAGCGCAGCUAACGUGAAGUUGACCGCCUGGGGAGUACGGUCGCAAGAUUAAACCCAAAGUGAACAGACGGGACCCGCAAUAAAGCGGUGGAUGAUGUGAUUAAUUGAUGCAACGCGAAAAACCUUACCUACCUUGACAUGUCUGGAAUCCCGAAGAGAUUUGGGAGUGCUCGCAAGAGAACCGGAACACAGGUGCUGCAUGUAUUACGUCGCUCGUGUCGAGAUGUUGGGUUAAGUCCCGCAACGAGCGCAACCCUUGUCAUUAGCUGGCUACGAGCGCACUCUAAUGAGAUCCGCCGGUGACAAACCGGAGGAAGGUGGGGAUGACGUCAAGUCCUCAUGGCUCCCAGGUAGGGCUUCACACGCCCGCGCAUUACCGGGACAGAGGGUCGCCAACCCGCGAGGGGGAGCCAAUCCCAGAAACCUGAUCGUAGUCCGGAUCGCAGUCUGCAACUCGACUGCGUGAAGUCGGAAUCGCUAGUAAUCGCGGAUCAGCAUGUCGCGGUGAAUACGUUCCCGGGUCUUGUACACACCGCCCGUCACACCAUGAGUGGGUUUUACCAGAAGUAGUUAGCCUAACCGUAAGGAGGGCGACGCCACGCAGUAGGAUUCAUGACUGGGGUGAAGUCGCAACAAGGUAA
RNAcentral lists this ribosomal RNA (1490 nucleotides) under uncultured Bordetella sp. RNAcentral describes it as "partial 16S-23S ribosomal RNA intergenic spacer". It matches the Rfam family "Bacterial small subunit ribosomal RNA". Lineage: Bacteria; Pseudomonadati; Pseudomonadota; Betaproteobacteria; Burkholderiales; Alcaligenaceae. The record is from RNAcentral.